GGAUGAACGCUGGCGGCGUGCCUAAUACAUGCAAGUCGAGCGAAUGGAUUAAGAGCUUGCUCUUAUGAAGUUAGCGGCGGACGGGUGAGUAACACGUGGGUAACCUGCCCAUAAGACUGGGAUAACUCCGGGAAACCGGGGCUAAUACCGGAUAACAUUUUGAACCGCAUGGUUCGAAAUUGAAAGGCGGCUUCGGCUGUCACUUAUGGAUGGACCCGCGUCGCAUUAGCUAGUUGGUGAGGUAACGGCUCACCAAGGCAACGAUGCGUAGCCGACCUGAGAGGGUGAUCGGCCACACUGGGACUGAGACACGGCCCAGACUCCUACGGGAGGCAGCAGUAGGGAAUCUUCCGCAAUGGACGAAAGUCUGACGGAGCAACGCCGCGUGAGUGAUGAAGGCUUUCGGGUCGUAAAACUCUGUUGUUAGGGAAGAACAAGUGCUAGUUGAAUAAGC
RNAcentral lists this ribosomal RNA (454 nucleotides) under Bacillus sp. (in: firmicutes). Its description in RNAcentral is "bacterial SSU rRNA". It matches the Rfam family "Bacterial small subunit ribosomal RNA", at positions 27 to 467 of the family's 1533-position model. The record is from RNAcentral. Lineage: Bacteria; Bacillati; Bacillota; Bacilli; Caryophanales; Bacillaceae.